AGAGUUUGAUCCUGGCUCAGGACGAACGCUGGCGGCGUGCUUAACACAUGCAAGUCGAACGGAAAAGGCCCUGCUUGCAGGGUGCUCGAGUGGCGAACGGGUGAGUAACACGUGGGUGAUCUGCCCUGCACUUCGGGAUAAGCUUGGGAAACUGGGUCUAAUACCGGAUAGGACUACGGCAUGCAUGUGCUGUGGUGGAAAGUUUGUAACGGUGUGGGAUGGGCCCGCGGCCUAUCAGCUUGUUGGUGGGGUGAUGGCCUACCAAGGCGACGACGGGUAGCCGGCCUGAGAGGGCGGGCGGCCACACUGGGACUGAGACACGGCCCAGACUCCUACGGGAGGCAGCAGUGGGGAAUAUUGCGCAAUGGGCGGAAGCCUGACGCAGCGACGCCGCGUGGGGGAUGAAGGCCUUCGGGUUGUAAACCUCUUUCAGCAGGGGCGAAGCGAGAGUGACGGUACCUGCAGAAGAAGCGCCGGCUAACUACGUGCCAGCAGCCGCGGUAAUACGUAGGGUGCGAGCGUUGUCCGGAAUUACUGGGCGUAAAGAGCUCGUAGGUGGUUUGUCGCGUUGUUCGUGAAAUUCCCUGGCUUAACUGGGGGCGUGCGGGCGAUACGGGCAGACUGGAGUACUGCAGGGGAGACUGGAAUUCCUGGUGUAGCGGUGGAAUGCGCAGAUAUCAGGAGGAACACCGGUGGCGAAGGCGGGUCUCUGGGCAGUAACUGACGCUGAGGAGCGAAAGCGUGGGGAGCGAACAGGAUUAGAUACCCCAGUAGUCC
RNAcentral lists this ribosomal RNA (777 nucleotides) under uncultured bacterium. Its description in RNAcentral is "bacterial SSU rRNA". It matches the Rfam family "Bacterial small subunit ribosomal RNA", at positions 8 to 796 of the family's 1533-position model. The record is from RNAcentral.